This is a non-coding RNA of Malus domestica (apple), 4195 nucleotides long. NCBI's taxonomy places the organism in Eukaryota, Viridiplantae, Streptophyta, Magnoliopsida, Rosales, Rosaceae. The record is from RefSeq and is a predicted model, not a curated record.
UUUGCACACCUCUUCGAUUUGACCGAUUUCUCUUUGAUUCACCGGAUUUCUCUUCAAUUCCAGUGUUCUUUUUCUUCUUAUGGACGGAGUCGCUCGCCUGUUUUUCUUCUUUGGCCACACAUUUGUGCAUCCUUGUUAUUUCUUCACCAGCAUCCUUGCGGCAACUUCCUUGCUGAUUUGAACUGCUCGACCAUGACAUGAACGCAUCCUCCACACGUUUGACUCGCUGUACAUCGGUCUUUGUCGUUGUCAUGUCUCUCGCGACCUCAUGAUCAAGUACCCAAGACCAAGUGUUUGUUCUUCUGCUUUCUGUUUUCUGGUAUAGCUUCCCAACACUGGAAGAAGGUGAAUUCUACUAGAAAUUGGACAACUUUGUGGGAUUUCAAGGUGUUUCUGAGAGGUGAAUAUUUUGAAGUUUUGUAGCGGAAUGAAGAUAGAUCCUAUCCGAAAUUUAGGACCUUUUCAGUUUAAUAAGAAGAUCAAAGUCCGUGUAUGCAGAAUUUGGAGACCUAAGGUUAUAGGAAAGGAUAAUACGUUUGGUGGUCUUCAAUGUAUAUUGGUUGAUGAAAUGAAAGAUGCAAUUCAAGCAUCUGCAAAAGAAAUAGAUUAUGAGUAUGUUGCUCCAAAAAUUAAAGCUAAUCAUGUUUAUGAGAUCACUCGCUUUUCUACUAGUCGUUGUAAAUCAUCCUACAAAAUUGUCCCCCAUGAUGCGCAAGUGUGCUUCAAUACAAAAACAAAUUUUGAAGAGUUGCCAGGUGUUCAUCCAAACAUUCCCUCACAGCGGUUUUACUUGAUUAUUCCCAACUGUUUUCUCGCAUCAAUCAAGAUGAUAUUCUCACAGAUGUUCUGGGAUGCAUCACUGCAGUAAAGCCUUUGGAGGACAGAAUGAUCAAUAAUUAGACAAUGGAGAAAAUACGUGAAGUGAAGUUGCAAAAUAUCAGGUCAACAAUAUAUGGAGACAUUUGAAUUUCUCAAAAUUGUUGCACAUUUUAUUCAAAAUACUAAUGUUUUUUCUUAAUAUCCGUUCACUUAGGAGAGAAGAUGUUAACCUGACAUUGUGGAGUGACACUGCAAAGACCUUUGAUUUCAAAGCUCUGGAACACUUGACCCCACCAGUUUUGGGUGUUUUUACAAGCCUUAAAGUUAGAUGGUUUAGAGAAAACAUUGUGCUGAACAAUAGUAUUUCCAUAAUGAUUUUCAUCAAUCCAGACAUUCCCGAAGCAACUCCUUACAAAGCAAUCUUUGUUGGUCCGACUCAUUCUGUAAAAAUGUUGCCAACGUCAGCAAGACAACUAAUGGGAUCAGAAUAGUUGGAAAACGCUGAAAAACUGUCUGUUCAGGAUCUGAAUGUUUUGGAUCCAGAUUUGUACAAGAACGCUUCAGUCUUAUGUAGAGCAGCCAUUACACAUUUUGACACUCAUGUUGGAUGGUGGUACAAAGCAUGUCCAUGCUGCUACAAACAAUUGAGAAAAGAUGAAAAUAACGACGUACUAAUUUGUGUAAAGCACAAUGUUCAAACUCCCCUACCUUUGUUCAAAGUAAGUUUAAUACUCGAAGACGCCAGCGAUGAGACCAGUGCUAUCAUCAUUGAUAAACCGGCUGAACGUUUAUUUGGAAUUUCAUGUUAUGAUUUAGUUGUCAAAAAAGGGUUUACUAAUCAACAAGAGCUGCCAUAUGCAAUUCUCCAAUGUCAAGGACAAAUAAAAAAAUUUCAACUUCGAUUUGGGAAUUUGAAAAAUGAUUUCAACAGAAAUGAUCUCUUGGUCCAAGCGAUUUUCGACGACAAAAUACAAGUUGUUCAAUCAAGUUCCAAAGCUUCUUAUGAAUCAUUGGUUGAAUUUGAGGAGGUAGAUACGACAGCUCAGACUUUCAGCUCUGUUGUCACAACAUCGUCUACAGAAAGUUCAAUUCCAAAGGGUCGUUUCAGCUCUAAGAGUAGAAAAAAAACCAAAGAGGGAAACUGAAAUUACCGAAGAAAUAGAUGAACAAAACGCUUCGGACACCGAAGAUUUUCCCAUCAAAUCCCUCAGGAACAAAAUGUCUCCAAACAAAACUGAAAUAGUAUCUACUACUUCCAAAACCUGCAAGAAUAAGUGCAAAGAUGAUUGAAGUUCUCUGAACAAUACAGAACAAAUGGAAGUUUUUUUUUUUUUAUGAGCCCAAGGACAAAGAAGCAACAUGAAAACUAGAACCAUGUGGACAAUUUUUGAAACUGUAUAUAUUUGGGGCUUGCAAGUCCAUCCUGUUAGUCAUUCAGAUCCGUUUUUUUUUAUGUACAUAGAACUUUUAACAUAGAGUUAGUAAAAUAUAGGUGCAAAAUGAACGCUAAACAAAGUGGGAGACUUUUGGAAGUGUAUAUGAAUGUAAAACUUAGAAAUCUCCCCUUUGGAUUGUAAAUAUGCUUUUGAUGUAAAAUAAAUAGAAUGUUCUAUAACUGAAAAACCUAUUUUACCCUGUUUGUUUAGUUGUUCUAUUAAUUUAUAAAAUGUUUAGGAAUGAAUGUGUUGCAAAAUCAAGUGUAACUUUGCCUCAAAUAUGCAUAAAAUUAUUAUUGAUACCUAUGGUAAAUUUUGGAUUAAGCUUUGAUGCUUAUGCACCACCUAUUCUUGCUGAAGACCUACCAUAAGUACGGGUCCACCUAUCCAGCAUAUAAGCACUUCCACUAACCUUAGAUAUAAAUUAAAUAGUCAUCAGUCUCAAAUUCAUAUGAAAAACUCAUCAUACGAAUUGUAUAUUGCUGGUACUUACUUCGGAGGUGAAUCAUAGAAACACUAAAAGCUGUGGUAUCUUAUGGGACACUUUGUUAUUAAAUUGUGAUUACGGAUUCAUAACCCGCAGCGGAGCGCGGGCAAUUUUUCUAGUAAAUUUCUAUGAAUGAGUUGGUAUUCUCUCGGUUGAAACACCAAUUUUUUUUCUUUUUAUACAACUAUCGUACAUGAAACUUGAGUUGGAAAUUUCUUGUAACAAAUGAAGAUCGACUACUUUUGUUUUUAAUGAAAUAAAUCUAAAAGAAAUCUUACUACUACUACCACGACAUGUUAAAUUGACCAAUUAACUUUUAGCAUUUCCCUUUUUAAUUUUCAAAGAAAAUUCCAACUGUCCUCUGCUAUAAAAAACAAUUUCAAAAUAAAAUUGGCACUACUAUCUUUAGUAUCAAUAUAACCAAGAUAUUGGAAGUAUCGGAUCCACGAGAGAACCAUAAUUGAAUAUCAAACUUAUAAUAUAGGAGUGUGAUAUUCACACAUCACAUUUUACUUCUCAAACGUCUUUUUAAUUUUCGACCGUCGGAUCGGAUGAAUUGAAGAAAAUCAUUGUAUAAAAAUUAUCAAGAGAUAUGUGAGAAAUAAAAUUAGGUGUGUGGAUAGCGCAUCUCAUAAUAUAUGGGAGACGAAACUAACACUUCAGAUUUACGAAUGGAAAAUAUCAUAUACUCACCCCAUUCAACUGCCACGUACCCGUCGCCCCACUUCCCACGUCACAAACACUCGUCCUCCACAUGCACUGCUAGGUAACUUUAUCACGCUGCCUCACCACUGAGGGGCCACUCCAACGCCCCCAUUUGGAAUUUGAAAAUGAAAGCCCCUCUCCAAAGAGACGUUAGAAAAUUACAACCUUGUGUGCAUUUUAUUCUAUUUUUUAUUUUCCAAAGAUAAUUUAAUUAUUUUAUUUUUGUCCACAAACAGAAAAGUCCCACUUUCUAUCCCCAUGUAUUGCUUUGAACUAGACGGGGCCUCGCUAAUGCUGCGGAGGGGAGACAGUGAGUUUCUGGACGCUGACUCUGACCUCUCAUAGAAAAAAUAAUGAAAGAUUUUCCCAUUUAAUUGUGUUCCCUCACAUCUCUGCUGAAUCUUUCAUUGCUUCCUUCACUCCACUUCACUUGUUAGAGAGAGAGAGGGAGAAGCUCAGCUGAUUCCUGCCCAUUAGUUCUUGCUAGGUACUUGAAGAGGAUAUGAUGCAAGGGUAAAUUCUAGUUGCAUGUCUUAAGUUGAAGCAGAAAGGUCAGAGUUUGAUUCAGCUUAUUGAAUUUCAUAGGCUAGUUUCUCAGCAUUGAACGUGCUGGUUGAGGUUCACAUUGUCUUGAUUUCGAAAGCUAGAACGCUGGUUGAGUAGUAUCCAUUACCAUAGAAGUAAUCUUACCUGAAUGACAUAGAGAGCAUUUUAGAUCAUAUGAUAUAAGAUUAUCAUCGUUUUGUAA